CGAAGAGUUUGAUCCUGGCUCAGGAUGAACGCUAGCGGCAGGCUUAACACAUGCAAGUCGAGGGGUAACAGGGAUUGCUUGCAAUCCGCUGACGACCGGCGAACGGGUGCGUAACGCGUAUGCAACCUACCUUUUACUGGGGGAUAGUCAAGAGAAAUUUUGAAUAAUACCCCAUACGAUCAUUUAUUUGCAUAAAUAGAUGAAGAAAACUCCGGUGGUAAAAGAUGGGCAUGCGUCCUAUUAGUUUGUUGGUGAGGUAACGGCUCACCAAGACUACGAUAGGUAGGGGUCCUGAGAGGGAGACCCCCCACACUGGUACUGAGACACGGACCAGACUCCUACGGGAGGCAGCAGUAAGGAAUAUUGGACAAUGGACGAAAGUCUGAUCCAGCCAUGCCGCGUGCAGGACGAAAGCCCUAUGGGUUGUAAACUGCUUUUAUACAGGAAGAAAAACUCCGACGUGUCGGAACUUGACGGUACUGUAAGAAUAAGGAUCGGCUAACUCCGUGCCAGCAGCCGCGGUAAUACGGA
This 531-nucleotide ribosomal RNA is filed under the name Flavobacteriaceae bacterium. RNAcentral's name for it is "bacterial SSU rRNA". It matches the Rfam family "Bacterial small subunit ribosomal RNA", at positions 1 to 529 of the family's 1533-position model. The record is from RNAcentral. Lineage: Bacteria; Pseudomonadati; Bacteroidota; Flavobacteriia; Flavobacteriales; Flavobacteriaceae.